RNAcentral lists this ribosomal RNA (553 nucleotides) under Acinetobacter baumannii OIFC137. RNAcentral describes it as "bacterial SSU rRNA". It matches the Rfam family "Bacterial small subunit ribosomal RNA", at positions 28 to 575 of the family's 1533-position model. The record is from RNAcentral. Lineage: Bacteria; Pseudomonadati; Pseudomonadota; Gammaproteobacteria; Moraxellales; Moraxellaceae.
AUUGAACGCUGGCGGCAGGCUUAACACAUGCAAGUCGAGCGGGGGAAGGUAGCUUGCUACCGGACCUAGCGGCGGACGGGUGAGUAAUGCUUAGGAAUCUGCCUAUUAGUGGGGGACAACAUCUCGAAAGGGAUGCUAAUACCGCAUACGUCCUACGGGAGAAAGCAGGGGAUCUUCGGACCUUGCGCUAAUAGAUGAGCCUAAGUCGGAUUAGCUAGUUGGUGGGGUAAAGGCCUACCAAGGCGACGAUCUGUAGCGGGUCUGAGAGGAUGAUCCGCCACACUGGGACUGAGACACGGCCCAGACUCCUACGGGAGGCAGCAGUGGGGAAUAUUGGACAAUGGGGGGAACCCUGAUCCAGCCAUGCCGCGUGUGUGAAGAAGGCCUUAUGGUUGUAAAGCACUUUAAGCGAGGAGGAGGCUACUUUAGUUAAUACCUAGAGAUAGUGGACGUUACUCGCAGAAUAAGCACCGGCUAACUCUGUGCCAGCAGCCGCGGUAAUACAGAGGGUGCGAGCGUUAAUCGGAUUUACUGGGCGUAAAGCGUGCGUAGG